GACGAACGCUGGCGGCGUGCUUAAUGAAUGCGAGUCGAGCGAGAACCAGUUGAGUGCUUGCACAAUUCUGGGGACAGCGGCAAACGGGUGAGUAACACGUGGGUAACCUGCCCUGUAGUCGGGCACAACAGUUGGAAACGGCUGCUAAUUCCCGAUAGUCAGCGGCGCCACAAGGCGCUGUUGUAAAGGUUAAUUCCGCUACAGGAUGGGCCCGCGGGUCAUUAGCUUGUUGGUGAGGUAACGGCUUACCAAGGCGACGAUGACUAGCCGGUCUGAGAGGAUGGUCGGCCACACUGGGACUGAGACAUGGUCCAGACUCCUCCGGGAGUUAGCAUCAGGGAAUCUUGCGCAAUGGGCGAAAGCCUGACGCAGCGACGCCGCGUGAGGGAUGAAGGUCUGCGGAUCGUAAACCUCUGUAAGCAGGGACGAAUACCCGAUUCUGUCGGGGGCGACGGUACCUGCAAAGUAAGCCCCGGCUAACUACGUG
RNAcentral lists this ribosomal RNA (487 nucleotides) under uncultured bacterium. RNAcentral describes it as "bacterial SSU rRNA". It matches the Rfam family "Bacterial small subunit ribosomal RNA", at positions 28 to 507 of the family's 1533-position model. The record is from RNAcentral.